CCUACGGGUGACAGCAGUGAGGAAUAUUGGUCAAUGGACGAGAGUCUGAACCAGCCAAGUAGCGUGAAGGAUGAAGGCCCUAUGGGUGGGAAACUUCAUGUAUAAAGGAAUAAAACGAGGCACGUGUGCCAGUUUGCAUGGACAUUAUGAAUAAGGAUCGGCUAACUCCGUGCCAGCAGCCGCGGUAAUACGGAGGAUCCGAGCGUUAUCCGGAUUUAGUGGGUUUACCGGGAGCGUAGAGGGGUUGUUAAGUCCGUGGUGAAAGUUUGCGGCUCAACCGUAAAAUUGCAAUUGAUACUGGCAGUCUUGUGUACAGUUGCGGUAGGCGGACUUCGUGGUGUAGCGG
This 346-nucleotide ribosomal RNA is filed under the name uncultured bacterium. RNAcentral's name for it is "partial 16S ribosomal RNA". It matches the Rfam family "Bacterial small subunit ribosomal RNA", at positions 338 to 681 of the family's 1533-position model. The record is from RNAcentral.